Molecule: non-coding RNA, 31 nt
Filed under: Homo sapiens (human)
Lineage: Eukaryota; Metazoa; Chordata; Mammalia; Primates; Hominidae
Source: RNAcentral
UCCUACUGAAGCAAAUGGACGUGGCAUCCUU